This 452-nucleotide ribosomal RNA is filed under the name uncultured bacterium. Its description in RNAcentral is "bacterial SSU rRNA". It matches the Rfam family "Bacterial small subunit ribosomal RNA", at positions 29 to 524 of the family's 1533-position model. The record is from RNAcentral.
AGCGAACGCUGGCGGCAGGCUUAACACAUGCAAGUCGAGCGGGCGUAGCAAUACGUCAGCGGCAGACGGGUGAGUAACGCGUGGGAACAUACCUUUUGGUUCGGAACAACACAGGGAAACUUGUGCUAAUACCGGAUAAGCCCUUACGGGGAAAGAUUUAUCGCCGAAAGAUUGGCCCGCGUCUGAUUAGCUAGUUGGUGAGGUAAUGGCUCACCAAGGCGACGAUCAGUAGCUGGUCUGAGAGGAUGAUCAGCCACAUUGGGACUGAGACACGGCCCAAACUCCUACGGGAGGCAGCAGUGGGGAAUAUUGGACAAUGGGCGCAAGCCUGAUCCAGCCAUGCCGCGUGAGUGAUGAAGGCCCUAGGGUUGUAAAGCUCUUUUGUGCGGGAAGAUAAUGACGGUACCGCAAGAAUAAGCCCCGGCUAACUUCGUGCCAGCAGCCGCUGUAAU